Molecule: long non-coding RNA, 284 nt
Filed under: Homo sapiens (human)
Lineage: Eukaryota; Metazoa; Chordata; Mammalia; Primates; Hominidae
Description: HSALNT0312365
Source: RNAcentral
UCAUGCUCCUAGAACCCUCUGGUGGAAUGCUGAUGAGGGGCUGGCCUGGGUGCAUUGUGCACGAAUGACUCUCUUAAAGCAAAGAUCAAAGUUGCUUUUCUAAAAUGGAACACUAAAAGGUGUGCUUCCUGAGGUUGACUUCAGAUCGAUGUGGAUGUACACUUGGACCAAGUUCUACAUUAGGAACACUUUAAGUGAUUGAUCUAGAGGUGCCCCUGCUGUGAAAAUGGAAAGAAAUGUAAUGUUUUGGUCAUGGGAGAGCUGCCAAUUCCACAGUACCAGCA